Long non-coding RNA from Homo sapiens (human), 39716 nucleotides. RefSeq annotates it as long independently transcribed non-coding RNA 2456. The transcript is spliced from 13 exons. The record is from RefSeq and is a predicted model, not a curated record. Lineage: Eukaryota; Metazoa; Chordata; Mammalia; Primates; Hominidae.
AAUACAUUCAGAAAACACUUACUGAACAUUUAUGAUGUGUCAGACACUGUGUUAGAAACUUGGGAGGCAAAGCUUCUACGUCUAAGAAGCUCAGAGUCAAGUUGGGGGCAGUUUCCUGUGGAACCUGGAAGGAUCAGGAUUCCUGAAAAUUUAAACCAGAACUCAGAUAUUCCAGUAAUUGCUCAUCAAGUGCCCACUAGUAGCUAAGCAUCUGCUACACAACAGCAUACAAAGUCUGGAAGGUCCAAAUUGGAUGUUUACUUGCAGUGAAUAUGUUUUUAAUGGUUUGUUAUAUUCAGAGGAUCAUAACUUCAAAGAUGGUCAUCAAUUAAUUCACAAAGAUAAUGUCAGAAGCAGGAUCCAAAGUGGAGCUUCUAGUGACCCCCAGGAGUGCUGAGUAAACACGCAAGGUACCUGCAGGACCCACUUGUGUCCAUUGAUCUCUCAGAGCAGCUGGGCAUCGUGGGUAAAGACCUUCACAAUCGGGAACCCGUAGAUUGGAUCUUCUGAAAACAUCAGAGAAAGACUAUCUUUGCCAUCCACACUACAGUAAAACUUUGGAGCCUUGAACCUUGGAUUUAUAAUCUCACAACUGAGAAGGGUCCCUCCAUACUCCUGGAACUGUACACCCAUUGGAACUCUUAAGGAUGAUAUACAUGGCCAGGUGAAGACAGUAGAGAGAAAACAGAACUGAAACCAGAGAGCCCUCUACAGAAGGAUGUAAUGGAUAAUUAUUGGUAUACAGUGAGGUUCAUAACCAAAAACAAAAGUUCUCUCCAUGAGACCUGGAAUCUGUAAACUGUCUUCUGGCUAAGGAAUCUGAAACUUAGGAUAAACAACUUGCCUAAUUUCUUAUGAUGGAGAUGUAAUAGUGGUUGGAAUUUGGACCUAUUCCUUCUGAUUCUGGAGCUCACCAGUUAACCACUCUGCUAAACUGCCUCCCCAAGAGGGAAUCACAAGUUCAAAUUCCAGGAGAGUUGGAUCAGCCUUUCCUCUCUGGCAGCCAGGCAAAGCGAGGGUCAUGCGAUCUACUCAGCACUUUGGGAUGUGACUUCAAAACCAAAGAACAAGGUGCACAUUUUGAGAAACGUGUACUCCUUGUUUAUGUGGCUGCUUCUUUAACAGAGUGAGGGAUAUGUACUUACUGGACACAGUUUUGGUUAGCCCAGCAUCACGUUUUUUUCUGGAAACCUCACCCCACUUUUUAUGUGGUUGUAGGAAUUCCCCCACCCCCUGCCAGUACAACGGCUCUUCUUUGGCUCUAGUGGAUUGGAACAGGGCAGGCCCCUCCCAAGAGCCAGUGACCAAGUAUGGUGGGGACAUUGAGGCAGACCUAUUUCUGAGAAACACAGAAAUUUGUUGGGCAACUGUAUUGCCCAACUUUGGCUCAAAAACUCCAUGAUGACUUUGCUGAACUUUCCUUAGACCAUAGACCCACCAAAAAUGUUUCCAACCAAUCUACUCUCUCUCUCUCCUUCCCUUGGGGUUAGGCUUGCCUUGCAAUCUGAUGGCUUUGCCUAUCCUCCCCUAUUUCUGUUCACACAUUAAUUCCCCCUAAUAAAACCCCUGCUCAUUUAACACCUUCUCAUCUUCUGUUUCUUGGAGGACCUCAUCUUAUGCAUCUGGUUUAAAUCCUAGCUCUCCCACACAGUAGUCGUGUGACCUUUGAUAAUCACUACAUUGUGCUGUCCUCAAUUUCCUCUUCUGUAAAAUGAAAGUGUGGGGUAAGAGCACCUACAUCACAGUGGUGUUAUAAUUGGAUGUAAUAACCCUCAGUCAUUUACCUGGCAUGCGGUAUAGUUGUAUGCAGGAGAGUCUACUGUUUAGAAAAACCUUGAACCUAAUUGUUAGCACCAUCAGUCUGUUCUGGCUUGUGUGCUGUAAGAGCCCUCUCUGGGUCUACAUUUGCUCAAGCAUUGAUGUUCUGUAGAGUAAAUUCUGCAUGUUUGUCUCUCCACUAAAACAUAAGUUCCUUGAGAGCAGGUAGCAUAUUUCCUUCACUUCUAUAUCCUCUCCAGAUCCAAGCAAAGUGUUUGAGCAAAGUGGCAAACCAGGAAAUGCUCAUUUAAUGGAUGCGAAUUUCCUGCAGGAAUGAUGGAAUGGAGUUCAGGUCAACAGCAAAUAUUGCAUGGCUGCUUACUUUCUUCCUGUGGUAUUCUCUACAAGGACAAAUAGCACAGAACCCCCUGCCAUCUCAUACAAGUGACAGAUUGUAUAUGGUAAAUAUCAACUAAGAAAUGCAGGAGAGAGUGCAGUGCUUGAUUAGCACACUGUGGUCUAUCUAUCUCGGGUUUGGAUUCUGCUUGACCGCUUGUUAGCCCAAGACGUUGGCAAGACACUUAGCCAUACUCAGCCUGAGUUUUCCUGUCUAUACAAUAGUGAUAAUUGUGGUACUCACUCUGCAAGCUUCAUGUGAAGAUUAAAUGAGGUGAUUCCCUAUAGCUCUUGCCACAGGGCAAGUACCUAAUCAAUAUCAGCUAUUAUGAUUCUUUUUAAUUUACUUUUUAAUUGUUACUAUUGUCAAAGCAGUUUGCAUGCUAGAGUGCUGCCCUUUCUCUGGCUGAAUGUGGGGAAACAGUAGCUAGCUCCUUGGUUUCCGGAGCUCCGUUGAGUGCUGGGAGAGUGGACUUACAGCUCUGUUUUCUAGUGACUGGGGCAUCCCUAGGAAUCCCCAGGAAUCAGAGGACUUUAUUCCAAGAUUAUCUUGACUUAGCAACUUUCUUACUCUUUUAAAGACUACCACCUGACUCUAUUUCAAAUAUUUCUGCCUGUGAUGUAAAAAAUCUCUAUCAAAAUGGUUUAAAAGCCUGGGGAACAAAGAAAAAAAAAUGCCAAGGGUAGUUUCCCUUGCUGACAAGAGGUGUUUAUGUUGCCUUUAAUAGUCAUGAAGGAUGUUGUAAAAUACUUCAGGAUCAGGGCUCCCCAGACUGUUGAUUUUAUGGGCAGCUUGUUUGCUUAGCUGUUUGUUUGUGUUACAUUUUUAAAUUUAAAAAAUGUUUAAGCUUAUUAUCUUUCGCAGAGGGAGUUGAUUUUGGAAUUGCUGAAAGGUUCAAAUGUGGUAUUUUAAAAAGUGAAACACCAGAUUCUAGCAAUUUUGCUGCUAUGUGCUAAAGAUUCAGCACAUUAGUACCUAAAAACUGGAUUUGAUUAUUCUUUUUCUCUUAAGCCUCCAAAAUGCCAUUGUUUCAUCUGACAUACAAUUUAUGCUAGAGUUACUUAAACUGGUGUAUGCAGUAACUCCUAUUGCAGUGUUCUUGGGAGAUGUGAGGCCUAGGGUUUUUACCUUUUGGUGUCAUUUCAAUGCAAUAGUGAUGAGUUCACAGGGUUAGGAGGAAAGGGUGUUGCCCUCUUUCACUCAUUCCUUGUGUGUGUGACAAAUCUGGGCAGAACAUUCAAAUGCUGUGUUCUGAAUUUUCCUCCUCACUGAAUUGAGAGAAAUUUUGGAAGUUUGGAAGGCUCUCUUGAACUUUUAGGAUGAACAAAAUAACACUAUGAGAAGUUAAAUUGAUUUGCCUCUGUUUGAGGUUGAUGGGGGCCUUCAGCAUAUAAAAGUAAACAUGCAGAAUGCCAGCCAGUGCUAUUCCAAGGCAGAGAAUGGCUCAAGAACAUUUUAUGCAUGCAUACAGUUUUAAAAAAAUCAGAAUUGUGGCAUUGUGCCAAAAGCACCUCUACCUUCAUCCUAGUGUUCUUUUGAAGAAGAAAACAUAUUAUUAUUUAUAAAGAGACAAAUCAGAGCAUUCAAUAGUGACCUAGGUAAAACAAUACUGACAAAAUAACAGUAAUUAUACUAUGCAUUUAUUGAUUCAUUCAUAUUUUUCAUUCCUUCUAGUCUUCCAGUGCCUCACAAGCUAGUCAAGCAUGCCACAUACUUACACCAUGACAUAAACAUUGCACAUCCCCAACUCUACAAUUGUCGGCUGAUUGAGAACCUUACUCAACCGUCAACCUGCCAUGGUCUUGCUCCUAAUUAUUUGGAACUUUUGUCUUGCCAUAAUUGUGAACUAAAGCCGUGAAAAUAGCACAUAUUUUCACAGAUGGCAGGGCUAGUUGGUCCUUGAUUACUUGACCUCUUGGUGCUGGCUAGACAGAAAGCCCCAAGUGAAUGUUUAUACAUUGUACCCAGAAUUUUGUAGAAACUUUAGCCAUGGAUCCCAGCUUGGAAGCUUGGACCAUUUGGCCGGUUUGGGUUUGAUGUAAAAUUUCUUGGUCUUUCACUGGGAACUUUCGAGUUAUUUUAUGAGACAAGAGCUGCCAUCAUACUCAGCUUUUCAUAAAUCUUGCUCUUAACAUCUUAUCUUCAUAUGGGCAUUUUGACCAUGUCAGUUAGAGAAGCCCAGGAGGACAAGGUAACCCAUUGUCAUCUUUUUUCCGGAGUGAUCAUAACAGAUGCCUACUCAAAUAAAUGAAUGUUCCUUUAUCUGACCCAAUGGGCAUGAAAGCAUAUGAGAAACUGAAUAGAGGAAGUUAGAGGCUAAUGGUUAAGAAAUGGGAAAGUGGUAGAAGAGGCAUUUGAUGGGUUUUGCCUGUAAUCCCAGUCCCUAAUAGAAGUAAGGGCAGGGGAUGAUAGAAGGAAGAUUGGCUGGAUGCAUUGACCUUUGGUUGUAAUGGGUCAAUAAUUAGACCUAGAAAUUUCUAAAAUUGCAAAUUGGUUCUAUAGGAAAGUUACUGCAGUCUAUAGACAGGGACCUAGAGAAUCCUUCUCUGUAUGUUAGAUGGGAAAUGGUAGAAGUCCCUGGAUCCUCAAAAGAUACAAUAAAAAGAAAACCAACUUAUUUCCACCCCUCCAAUAAUGUCCUCUCUAUUUCCUGAAUAAUUUUUAAUUUAGGAUGAGAAACAGGCUUUUGAGAAGACAAAGGAAUCCUGCAGUUUUUACUGAAUGAUGGUUAGUUUUUACAGAGGAAUUUACCUUCACUGAAAGACAAUCCAAGAAACUGUUCUCACCUAUAAUUUUGGAAAAUAGUUCCCCCCAGCUCUGUAAUGGGUGCAACAAUGCUAGAACACAAAGGUGCACACACACACACGCGCACACACACACACGAAGGAAGGGGAGAAACUAAUCCCCUUCCCCUCAAAACUGUUUGGUGUAGUUUAUUACAGAUUCUAAAUUGCUGCCAAGGACAUUUAGAAUUAAAAUCAGCUUGAUGCACCUUUAGCAUUCUUAUUUCUAACCAUCAUACUUCCACUUUUUAAAAAGUUAGCUUCUUGACCAAUGGUUCUUAAAACUAUAAUCAUAUUAGUUAAAAAAAUAAAGAUGGGAAUUUCCAAAAUGUUUUCUAGCUCCUGUUACUCAUCUAACAAUAGGCAAUGAAAGUUAUAAUUGAGUUCCUGGUAUGAUAAGAACUUUCUUAGGGGCUCUCUGGAAGAAUCAGACAUGGACUCAUAAACCUCUUUUCCCAUAGCUCUCAUCAUUUCCCUAUUGUUCUCAAUCUCCAUUUCUCUCUUCUGGAAUUUAAACAUACGUUUAUAUUUUUAAAUCAUUUCUUUUGGACACUGGAUGAAAAUGGGAUGGCACUAAAGGCAUUAAGGAGUCCCAUUAAAAAAGGACCUCCAAAUAUGUGGGCAUCAGGGAAAAGUUCUGAUUCCAGUUAGGCCUUUAGGGAUGACAGAAAAGCUGAUUUUCACCUUGCAGGUCUGGAAGUUUUGUGGACCUGGAGAAUUUUUGCUAACCUCAGCUACUCCCUCUUUAAAAAUUGACCUGUCUUGCUUAGGCCAAAGGAAUCAGUAACUGGGCUUUAAGUAUUGAGGUGAGCAUACAAACUGGAUAUUUCAAAACUCAUAAAAAGGGAUUUGGAUUCUGCUUCAUCUAAAACUAUUAAUCUUUUCAUUGCUCCUGAAGGCUUCCCCUUUAACUAGAGACUAUCAAUGUUGCCCUUGGAUUAAAAGUCAACUCUGUGUUAUCUAGUGAAUAUUGCAAAAAAGCACUAUUCUUUUCCUAUGGGCAAAUAAAAAGAAUAGAUCUCAUCUUGCCCAGUGGAUGUUAAUGGACUUGAGAAAUUGCAGAAUUUAUUACCUAAGAAAACAAUGUUUCCCUUUAGUGGGAGGGAGGUCGUCAAGGGAUGGAGGCGAGAGAAGGGGAAUUGCUCUUUGGGAGCUCAUUUCUUUGCCUCCUUUUCCACCCUUACAUUCGAACAGUGCACACAUUAGAAGCUGUGUGAGGUUUUGUUUGUUUUCAAGAGAUGUUUGAAAAAAGAUCAAAUGCUUGUGAAAGGCACUGGAUUGGCAGCCCAAGAAACUAAAGUGUCCCGGAAGCUGUGUGAGCCCAGAAAUAUCCUGCAUUUCUAUUUAUUUUGGCAAUUUUACUUAAGACUACCAAUAACUGGAGUUCAUACUACAAUUAAAUUUUCCCCAGGCACCAUGAAAUGAAAGCACGUAUUACACUUAAUUUUAACUGGUUGAGAAAAAUGGUGGUUUUCUGAAAGUUCAUUAUAUGACCCGGAAACAGAAGCAAUGGCUCUCACUUGGGAGAGCCAAGCUACCUAUUUAAGUUGGAAUUAUUCAUAGAACCAGGGGUUCUCUGGGUUGGAAUGGUUCUUAGGUCAUUGAGUUCUCUUAUCCUACCACAUGCUUGAAACUCUACUACCACAUCAUGGAAAAGCGUUGGCAAGCUUGGGCUUGAAGUUUUUGGUGACACAAGACUGGCUUCUACUUCAGGAGACCAACUUCUUUUUCACAUAGCUCCAAUUUUCAGAGACAUUCUAUAACAAGUGAAGAGAUGAAGGAGAAAACUGGCUUGGGCCCAAUAUUCAGUAUGGUUGGAAACCACUUCAAGGAAGAGGUGCAAAUAUAUUCUAACUUAGAAGGUUGAACCUGGCAGUCAGCUUGGAUGGGAAGUUGCCAUUUCUCUCUCUGGCCCUGGGAAGAGACAAGUCAUGAACACAAUCAAGGACAAGAAGUUGGUUAACCAUAUGUAAAGAGUUGGGAUCCCAUUGGAUAUCGCUUCCUGGAGAAUGAAAAAAUAUGGCUCCAUAUCAGGCAGGUGCUCAGCAGCGAUGGCUUAUGGCCCUUCCUCUACUGAUCUUUUCCUUUAUCUCUUUGGUCAUUAUGCUCAGUGUUAAUAUGGGUUGCUAAGGAACCAUAUGUACAUGGUAAUUUGGUAAAACAUCUCCCUCACAGAAAGCAGAAUUUUGGAGGAGGGCGUAGUGGCCAUCUUAGGAGCAUCUGAGGAGAAAGUUUUGCCCCCUUUUAAAUUCCUAACACGGACAUUCAACUUAUUCAAUUUUUUCCAUUUAAAAAAGGUGUGUGUGUGUGUGUGUGUGUGUGUGUGUGUGUGUGUGUGUGUGUAUUGUCUAAUCUAGAGAUCCUGAGGAGCUAAGAAGUAUGAACAAACGCACUUCAAAGACUAAACUGGACAUAAAUUCAAACGAGAAGAAAGUCUUCAUUUAGGGAAAAUCAGAGAAAAUACUUCAGGGAGGAAAAGGUAUCAAAUCUAACUGUUAGCAUGUAAUAAUAUUUUGUCAGAAGUUUUUCCCUCAUUUCUGCUCAACUACAGAGUUUCAGCUAGCAUUAAUCUUCUAAUCAAAAGGGAACAAAUCUAUUUAUAAUUGACAUAAAUGAUAGUCCUAUUUAUAGUUCUCUUUGGCGUUCCAUGCUUCUCUGUGGGAGAUCUUCCCUGAAACAAAAGCCUACUUUUUGAAGCAACUGUGUUCCAGGGACAGCCUUGAUCAUUUCUGCUGCCCGAGAGAUGUAUUUAAUUAACCUCUUAUCCCUACUCAUGGGAUGGCGGAAUGUGAAAAGUACUGACCAAUAUUACAGCAAUUCCUACAUUUGCCCUUGUAAUUCCAGUCCACAGAAAUCAUACAUGACCCAAAAAGGAAUGACAGUCCCCACGUUCCAAAGGAAGGGGCAUGAAUGCAUCUUGGCUAACCCACUUUCAACUUCAGGAUGUACUCUAGCCUAGCCCUCCCUCAAUUCUAACAACACUUCACUCAAAUUACCUCUGGAAACUGGUAGCGGGUCCUGAUUUUCUAAGAAUUUUGUGGCAAUUCCACAGGUAUUAUCUCUCCUGGUACUAAAAAAACUGCUUUGGGUAGGCAGGCAGGGCUGACUGUACCCAUUUGACAAGGGAGAGAAUUGCCUGACAGAACCCAGCCAACCAGCGAAUUCAAGGCUUUUCAGGGUGUCCAGGUCUCCUCACCUCAUAUUCAGAACUCUUUUUGAUAUCCAAUGUUGUCAUGCUGAUAGCAAAAUAAAUAUUAUUCAAAUAUACCCAGACAUUCACUUAAAUUCUCAAACUCUGCUUAAAUUCACUCAAAUUCUGCUUAAUUUAUUAACAAAACUCUGUUUUGAGGAAUCCUCAUGCUAAAAGAAAAGCAACCAACAGUGCCCAUGUUAUCUGCAUCAAAUCCUAUCUGGACCGGGGGAUACAGAGGAUAAGAUGGGAGGGGAACCUCAUGACUCCAGGUAGAAUUUUGACGCAUCAUUGAACUUGAGUUGGAAAGACUGGCCUGGCAGCUCUACAAAAGGAGGGAUUUUUUCCUAAGCUUUUCAUCAACUCAAAGUCAAAGCGGCUUGUUUGCCCAGUAUUUCUGGCCUCUCUCAGUCUAUAGAACACAACCAUGCCUCUACCUAGCCAAGGACCCAGGCAGACAGAGAGUACAUGAAGGUGUAAAUUCCACCUACUUUUAAACUUUAGUGGACGAUUUCACAAGACUGUAUAUAUAGAGAGAAGGAUGAAAAUUUUUUGUAUUCUUUUGGAAAUUCAGUAAACAUAUUUUGAGAUCUGCCAUAUCCAGGAAGAAUAAGAGAAAAAAAUGUUAUUUUUAUACAUUAUUACUUACUUUAAUUCUAUAGGUUUAUGAUGAUUAUUCUGACAUAUGGGUAAGAAUUGUUUUCUUAACCAGAUUGAAGGUAACCUUAAGGCAGAUUUGUAUGUUACUUUUUGGGAGCAUGAUGGGUGUUCAUGAACGUUAGUUUUCUGCUCUGGCUUUUUCGUUUCAGCUUCCCCUUGGUUUCUAGCACAAUUCUAGGUACACAGUUAUCCAUAAAACAUUGCUGAAUUUAAUGACAUUGAAAAAUAAUGACUUUCUUCUUCUUGGUCAAUAUUUUGCAACUGGUCAUUCCAGUCAAAAUUCACUAAGUUGGAUCCAUUUCUGGUGCCUGAGAUUUGAUUCUAUAAUCUUGUAACUUGUUGACAAUCCUUCUGCAGGGCAAACAGGAAUGCGAGCCCCUUUCUAGUUAUUCAGAAACUUUAGAAAUUGACACUUUUGAAUGCAGCAUACGGAGUUCUUUCUGUUUCAUUUUUUCUAGCGUAUUUGUGCUCUACCUGGCAUUGACUCAAUUCAUUAUCUCAGCCCAGCCCCCAGGAAUAGACUGACUCCUGCAAUUCUAACACAAGUUGUGCAUACUAAAGGAUUUGCUGAUGCUCCUCAUGAGGCAUGCAAUAGUGUUUUAAUCUGGAGAUCACAGCCAGCUUCCAACAAAAAGGAUCAUGUUCUGUUUACCUAAAUUCCCUUAGUAGUUUCCUUUAGAUACAGCACUUCUCACUCUGUACUUGAAAAUACCGAAAAGUCCAUGGAGGCCUUCCGACUCAGCCAUGUCUACAUUUCAAAUGAGUUACUGCCUUCCUAAAGGCACACAUAACUAAUCUAGGCCUGUAAGGCCACAUAAAAACGAAUAACAAUUAAUUCCAUGCAGACAUGGAUAGUGCAGUGUAUGAGGGAGUAAGUGGGAACUUACAGAGAUUAAUAAAACAUAGCCCUCACCUUUGCAGAGCUUAUAGUUAAGCAGAUGGUAGGAACACUGACCAAAAAAAAAAAAAAAAACCAAAAACAAAGUGCUGUAAGAGUAAUAUUAUUGCUUCUCUCUCUCAGAGGAAAGAGGGUUGACAUCUGGUAGAAGAUUUUACAGAGGAGGUGACAUUUGAGAGAAGAAGAGAGGAAAGUCCAGGAAAAUAAAAUAGGUGGUAAUAAGUCACAUAGGUCGGAUGUUGGAAUAUGUAGGGGGUCAUUUGUAAACUUGGUGAGUCAAUCAAGUCAAUGUCUCAAUGACUACAGCAAGUCAUGCAGGCAAGUGAAGUAGACCAGAGCAAGGCAAUAGAGAGUGGUGGGGGGUUUUUGGUAAAGCAGAAAGCAUGUGCCAAUAUGAAGUGGAGAGUCAUUUAGUAAAUACUGACAGAUAAUUCAAAUUUUAGUAAAAACACUGUAUUCACUACACAAAAACACUUAUGAGGACUGGAUACAACUUACAGAUUGCCAGUUUGUGAGCUCUGCUGUAGGGAUACAUUAAGAAAGUCAGAUAGAGACCUUACGUAAAAUGCCUUACUGUCAAAUUGGGGAGUUUGGACUCACUCAAUUUACAUAGCCAUGAAUGGUCCCUGGAUGUUGUUUAGAAAAGGGAUAAAGUGAUAAGAAUUGCUUUGGAAAGAUUAAUCUCAUGGGUGGGACGGCUGGCCUCAAGCAGUCUUGCACAUAGCACGAUCAUGGAGGAGGCUGUUGCAAUAGUUUUGGUGGGCGAUGAGGAGGAUCUAAAUAGUGAUGGGACUGGAAGGAUCUUCCAGUAAAUAGGUAACAGCUGUUAUGGAUCUCGGUGCAAAACAAACUGUAAGGCUACAGCUUGUUUUGUCUGAAGAGUUGGGUUGAUGGUCUCCACUGUGCUCAACACUUAGGGUGAUUGUGCAACCCAUCCAUUGCAUUGGCUGGGAACCUGGCCUUUCCUGCUUUACAAGGUCACCGGCUAAAAACUCCACUUGCUCUUGAGGAAAUAUCCCUUUGAUGAUGUCUAAAUUUUUGAAUGUUCAGUUUUUAAAAUCUGCCUUCUUCCUUCACCAGAAUGACUUGAUUGUCUUUUAAAUUCUAGCUCAGCUGUACCCUUGCUCUGUUUGGGGAGGGCUAUACAGUUCUAUAAAGAUGAGGUUUGUGUCUUAUUUAUAUAAACCAGCAGCAGUUAGUCUGGUAACUAUGUGAUAGAACAAAGGCAAUAGAUAUGUCUUGAACGUAAUAAAAUAGACAAGCGUAUAGUUAAUAUCCAACGAGAUCUUGCAUAUUUGGAGCAGGAGUGGCAUAGGUCAAUGUAUGCUGAGCCAGAUAGGUAUAUAAUGAAUAAAUUAAGCCUGCAAGGGCACACACUUCACAUAAAAGGGUGACCAAAAACUGCCACUCAAGAAUGCAGGCUCAGCCAUGCUGGAUUGCACCAUUUUUUUCAUAAGAGAAGUUGUUAAUCUUUUGUUUUUGCUUAUAAUCUCUUGAUUUUUAUAUUUCCAAAAUUAAAACAAAUACAUAUUGGGUGGACCAAACAAAACAUGUCUGUGGACUAGAUGCAGGUGGGGUGGGAGUGGAAACGUUUUGUGACAUUGCUCUAGAAUAUCAAUUCCAUGUGCAUAGAGCUGUGCUUUACUCAUUUCUUUCAUCAUUAGUUUUGGCUAACCAGAAGACACUCAAUAGAUGGUGUGGACUGGGAUACCAUAGGGGAGAACUAUUCCCAUCUGACUCAAGCCUGCAGUUGUAUGAUUGGAAUUUCAUGGGUCCCCCCACAAAGAAACCUCUUUGAAGGGAUGGCAUCAUUCUCCCUUGGGUAUUGCUAAACACAGAGCAGGUGCCCAGCUGAUGAUUCUACAAUUAAAUUGGGCAGAGCUAUAAUUUUACUUCCAUACAUUUUACUAAAGCACCCAGCAAAAGGAAUGAGAGAAUACUAACAAAGAAACAAACAAUAAUCUCCAUAUCCGUCAGAUUUCUUAAGGGAUUUUAGAGAUUUUCAUGAACAGCAGUAAACAUUCUGGAAAAGGUAUUAGAGAUUAUCUUGUCAACAUUAAUUCAAUGGGUAGAGUGCCAAUGAGUCAGGGAUAUCACUGUAUUAAAAUAAUAUGCAUUAAAUCUAAACAAAUCAAAUAUAUAGUUUUGGUCUAAGUCCAAUACUAUCUUAUCCUUGUCAAGAAUAUAGACAAGAAGUGGCAUGUUCUUAAAGUUCAAGUAAAAGAUGUGUGAAAACAAUGUGAAAACUAUAUUAGUGACUUUUUUUCCCUGCCAAACUGGGAAGAGAGAUCACAAUUAUCACAUUUCAAAGGUGGAAUGUCUUGGUUCAUUUACGUAUCAUUGUUUCAAUGGCAACAGGUUUUGAGACCCAGGGGAUUAAUAAUCAAAUCUACCAAGUUAUUUAGUGGUAGAGUUCUGAGUAAAUCCAAGAUUUUCUAAGUCUCCAAUCCAAAGGCCCCCCUUUCUUUUUAUUGUCAUUUCAAGAAAUACAAGUUAAAAACUGGUCCUCUCUCACUUUACCUGCCCUGCUGUGGGACAAUGUCCCUUUGAAGAAGCACACCCUUCAGAUAUCAAGGCCUUCAUUAAUGACCUUCAUUAAUGGGCUCAGGCUGGGGAACUUGAGUUUCAGAAUGACCCUCGUAAAGACCCGAAGCCAGCUGUAUCUCUUUGAAAAGCAGUUUUAAAGUUUACCCUUCACCUUCUGAUAGGUGACCAAAAUAGACUUUUCUUACCUUAAAACCAUUUCUCUAAAAUCCCAGUGGGAACCCUCAUAGAACUAAUUAACUCAGACCCAUAAGAAAUAAUAUUAGAAUCUGGCUGAGCAUAACAAAAGAUGAAAUUUGAUAUGAGUAAAACACACAUUCGUCCACUUAAUGCAAUUAGAUUUUUUUCUUUUUUUGAAGCACUCUUGCUUGGCUGUUCUUGAAAAAUGUAACUAUUGAAAAAGAAACUGGCAAGAUCUUAAGGACUGGGGCUCAGUUCCUGGCCCCAGUGAUGGGCUUGGAAAUUGCAGCUACAGCAAUUAGAAGUUCCAAUUUCCAGUUCACAGAAGGUCAGGCCAUGGGGUUAUCCUUGGAGCAGUUCUAUCAUUCCUCUGAGGAAAGGUUCCACCAACUUGAGGGAAUCUGGACCAAAUACCAGUGAAUCAGCAUAUAUAUUGUUAAUGGCCACAAGCAGGUUUGACCUUAACAUCAUUUUUGAAAUCUGCAGUGACAGUUGAUCUUUUUGUACUCUGUCUUAUCAAAUGUGAGCCACGAAUUAGCAAGUACCUCUUACUUCCUGCCAUUCUCUAGAUGGGGCUUCUCAAACCUUAACACGCAUCCAAAUCCUGUGGGUAUCGGGUUAAAAUGCAGAUUUUGAUUUAAUUGGUUUGGGGUCAGGGCCCCUGACUCUGCAUUUCUAAAAAGCCCUCAGGUUUCUUUGAGUAGCAAGACUCUAUGUCUAUGUGUAUUUUCACACACUAAGCUUUGUUUUUCCUAAGCAACAUUGAUACAUUCCCCUUAGACAAUUUGUUAAUCAAACCAAUUAGCCCGUUGUAAACAAGAGAUACAAGAGAUUGUUUCUUGCCACAAAACACUUUCCCUAGCCAGUUUUCAAAUCUGGUUUUUCUAAGAGAUAGACUUUUCUGUUCUUUAUUAUUACUGUUGUUUUUGAUAUGUGUGUUGGGGAGGGAGAUCAAAAUCAUUUAUAUUCAUUGAAACCAAUCAUCCACUGAAUGACUUUAAAACACUAAGUGGCCAGUGUCUACUUCAGAACCAGCCAGAAGUAAGCCUUUCUUUGUCUUUAGCUUACACAUCAUGAUGCUUUUGUGCAAUGUUACUGAACCCCCAUCUGACUUAUCUGGUAAGAGAGAUUUUCAUAAUUGCAUGCAAAGCACCGAUAAUCUACAGAAAUGCCAGCCAGAUUUGUGGCACUAAUACCUUUCACAAGUCUUAUGAUUCAUAUGACUCAGGGCCCACAGACUGUCUAACUUAAGGGAAGCCUGAAAUGAUGCUUAUUGUAUGUGUGUCAUUGAUCUUCUCAAAAUUCAUCCUCAAAUAUCUGUUCCAUACUAGGAGGUAAGAAUCAGCAGAAAAGAAGGAAUCUUUGGAGAGCCAAAACCAUCUCUACACCAAAUUGAGAGACUGGAAUUAUAAGGUGAAUGCAAUUAACUGGCAGUCGCAUCCAUGUUGAGAACACAGUCAUCCCUUUAAUAGAGAACAUUUGCUGUGCUUGACAAACUCACAGUGAAAUGGUUGGAUCCAUAGGAAGCAACAUGCUGAAAAUGGUUUCAAUAUGAUCCUGUUUUUUCACUCAAUAGCCAUUGAUUGAGGGUGUCCAGCCAAAAACAAUGAGAAAAUGAGCCAACAAUAGUCUUACCCUUUGACCAUAUUAGAUAAAGUCGCAGCUGAAAUUUGUUAUAUGUUUCAGGAAUAACAAAGCAUCCAUAUGGAACAUAUAUUUGGCAGUGUGGCAGCUGAUGAAACCAGGAAAAUUAGACAAAUUAUCAAUUGCUCGCUCCCAAAUUACCCCAAAAAGAAAUUAGAUCCAUUUUCAGUAGCUUUGCCUUCAAAUUUCUUCAUUCCGUGAGUCACCACUACCUUCUGCCAAACUAAAUAUGUCUAUGAACGGCUGGAAACUUUAAUGGAAAGAAACAUAAAACUCAAACUACGUAGGAAAAUUUAAGCUUCUUCAUGGAAGAUCUUCGUGGAAGACUAGCAAGUUAGGAAUGUGUGAAGACAGACAACACAUCGAUAAUUCCUUUUGUUUGGGGUCACUUCUGAGUUAGAGAGCAAUGCAACAUGCUGGCUUGACUUCAAAUUAAAAUCAGCUUUUUCCUUUAUUUCUUUUGUAAGCCUCCAAUCCCUCAAACUACUAGGGUUUAUUAAGGUACACAGUCCUACAGUCAGGUCGAUCAGAUUUGGGAUAAAGAGACUUCAUGAUGUUAUCCGAUGGAUGGUAGAAAUUAGUAAAUGAAGAUUUCAUGAAUGGCUAAGAGCUUAAUUUUCUAGAAACUAUUCUGAGGUGUUACACCAGAAGAAUAUGACAUAGCAGUUCACUUUGAGUGUAUGGACUGUGGUUAUGAGCACUACCCUCAUAUGAGUUUAUUGAGGUUAAGUUUAAAGGGUCCAGCUGUGCAAAGAGCUCUGGACCAAGCAUGAGGUGACUGAAAUGUAGCCUUGGCUUUCCGACCAGUAGCUCCAGCUUUUCCGACCAACUUUUGUGACCUCAUGCACAUCAUGUUUUUUCUGGACCUUGGUCCUUUCAUCUGGGAAGUGAGAGCACUGGAUCAGAUUGCUCUAUAUGGUUCUUUCUAGCUCUCUAAUUUUUCAAUUCUGCAUUGGCAAAUAGAAACCACUUGUAGUGUUCUCUAAGGGCUGGUGCUCCAGCUGUGAUUCAUACCUUAGCCAGGGAUGUACCAGUUGUUGCAUACCUUCCCUUGCCCAACACUACUCCUUUUAAAUAACUCACAUAGAAGUAGAGAGGAACUGAGUGGAGGUUCUGUUCUCACUUUCAUAAGUAGACCUUAUUGGUGAGGGUCCAGUAGCCUUUGAAAAUUACCUGUUGACUAGAGUUAGCUUAAUCUUGAGCUAGGCAUUUUCAGUGGAGCAGUGGUGAAGGGGUCCUAAGAGGUGACAUCUCAAGUAGACUUGUUGACUUUUUUCUCCUAUAUCUUCAAUCUCAGAUCCAAAAUGAUGUCAGUAGCAAAUUGUAAGUCAUGGUAUAUAUUCUGGGGACUGGAAGAAGGAAAUAGCUUUUGGAAUGACAUUUUCAAUAUCAAAUCAAGAAAUUUUAUUAAGUGCUCCAUACUAGAUGCUGUGAAAAACAGGAGGGGGGAAAACCCUUAAAACUUAGUCUGUGUUCUUCUGAAAAAGCUCAAGAUAAAAUAGAGAGAAUGAAAAUUUACAGUAGCAGCAGUAGCAGUAGCCAGUAUUUGAUUGUGUGGUUCAAAAGUGUUACAACUGCAUCAAAUGUUGUGUCUCUGGGAGCCAUGGGAUGUGAGGCCCCUGGGAUAGAAGAACCACAGGGUCACUGGUCCAUAUGGUGAUAAAACUCACAAUUUUGAUUUCAUCAAAGCCAUUCUCAAACAAAAAAAUUUAAUUCCCCUAAGUCAGGCUGUGAUAAGAAAACAGUUUGGAUGUACAACUUGAGAGUGCGAAGAUACUUUUUCUGAUUAGUGAGUACAUUUCCUCUGCUGAAUGCUGCUUUUUGAGGCUAAGCAGAAAUCACCAAUAGCUGACUUGAGAGAAUAGAAAUCUUUUGCCUAUAUGUGAUAUCUCUCAGUGACUACCCAAUCACCUCGUGGGGAACAAAGUCUUUAAGCAAGCUCAGUGUGGUAAAAUGAUAGGCCCCAUCUCUUUGCUGCUUCUUCCAAUGAGAGGAAAUAGUGAUACUGAGUGAGCAUUCUGAAGAUACAUUAAUUAACUCUUGGGUGGUCUCAAUGUAAAGUGAUAUGUGAACAGGAGGCAGCAACAUGCUUUUCUUUUUUAAUUAAUGAGGUUGAGAAGAUACACUGCCAAAUUAACUUUUCCAGAUUAUAAUUGUUGCCUAAGGUUUUACAGAAAUCAUGGCAUUGAUCUAAUUUGUGAGCCAUGAUUUGGGAUACAAGGCAAAAAGCAUCCAAUUCAGUUCAUCAGUUGUGACUAUUUGGAUGGCCCUUCGUUUCCAAAGCACUUCUACAGCUGAGCCUCAGAACAACUCAGAAGUGUAUUUUUAUUCCCAUUUUACGAUAAGCUAUGUAAGGCUCAAGGACGUUAAGUGACUUCUCCAAGGUCAUAGAACUGUUCAGUAGGGGAGCUGGGUCAGGCCCAAAUGGGGAACUUCUGACUGUUUCUGAGCAAUUGAAUGACUGUGAUAGGACUCAGAUAGGAAAGGCACAAGAAAAAAGGAGAAAAAUUUGGUCAUUACCUUUGAACCAGGCUUUUUCACUUGUGAGGAAUUGAGUUUAUUUAUUAUGUGCCUGACAAGGGAACAGCCACAUAUGUUAAGGUCAAAGACAACUGGCUGGGUGCGGUGGCUCACGCCUGUAAUCCCAGCACUUUGUGAGUCCAAGGCAGGCGGAUCACCUGAGGUCAGGAGUUCGAGACCAACCAGGCCAACAUGGUGAAACCCCGUCUCUACUAAAAAUACAAACAUUAGCCGGGCAAGGUGGUGCAUGCCUGUCAUCCCAGCUACUCGGGAGGCUGAGGCGGGAGAAUUGCUUGAACCUAGGAGACAGAGGUUGCAGUGAGCCGAGAUUGCACCACUGUACUCCAGCCUGGGCAACAGAGCAAGACUCUGUUUCAAAUAAAUAAAUAAAUAAAUAAAUAAAUAAAUAAAUAAAUAAAUAAAUAAAGAUAACCAACUUCUUUUUAAUUUGCUCCAGGUGGUCUCAAUCAAACUUCUAAGCACAGGGUUCUACUCUGAACCAUUUCUGCCUGCCCUUCCUUCUCUUACUAAAAUACAUGAAUUCCAUGGCUAUAAGGCAAGAAAGAAAAGGCCUGCAAAAGGUUUUAAAUAGCCUAUAGGAAGAACUUUUAUUUUUCAGAGAAAAGCUUUCAAAACCACAAUGACUCUUCUCAUGGCUUGCUCCAGGCAAUGGACCAUAGGCUCUGGAUUAAACAGUGACUGAGAAUUGAUGUGUUACUUUCACUCAUGGUUUUCCAAUCUCUCUAAUUGCCUCUCUUCUGGAGACUUGUCUAGUCUAGGAAUCUCGACUCGGGGGUGAUUUUGCCCCCAGGGGUACAUUUGGCAAUGUCUGCAAACAUUCUUGAUGGUCGUGACUGGGAGGAAGGGACUGCUGGCACCUAGUGGAUAGAGGCCAAGUAUGUUACUAGUUAUCGUAUAAUGCACAGGGCAGCUCCCUCUCCCAGCAAAAAAUAGUCUGACCCAAAAUGUCAAUAGUGUUGAGGCUGAAAAACUCUGUUGCCAAUGGCGCUUGGGGAAAGUUGACUGAGGAGUAUGAGAAUAAGGUAAGAUUUUAAAACAGUCUGGGCAUAGUGGCUCAUGACUGUAAAUCCAGCACUUUGGGAGACUGAGGCGGGCAGAUCACUUGAGCCCAGGAAUUUGAGACCAGCAUGGGCAACAUGGUAAAACCCCAUCUCUACAAAAAAAUACAAAAGUUAGCCAGCUGUGGUGGCAUGCGCCUAUGGUCCCAGCUACUGGGGAGGCUGAGGUGGUAGGAGGAUCACUUGAGCCUGGGAGGUUGAGGCUGCAGUGAGCUUUGUUCACACCACUGCACUCUAGCCUGAGCAAUGGACUGAGACCCUGUCUCAAAAAAACAAAAACCAAAAUGAAAAAACCCACAUCACUUGGUCUCAUAAAGAGGUUGGGGAUAGGUUCAGCAAGGAGGGAGAAGAAAAAUCUAUAGUGUCCUUAAAUCCAUUUAAUCCAGAAUUCUAAGUCUUGGUGCUCCUUUCCCCAGUUUUACAGGUAAUCAGGAGUUGGCUGCAUGUGGGUUGGCUCAGUGCAGACUUUCUAAAUCACUUGCCUCUGAUGAAAGACCCAUUUCAUCAGGGUAAAUGGCACAGAGGUAGUACCAUCUUCCCAGCAAUACUCUCCGGAUUGCUUCUAUGUCUGACAAAUUUUCAAAGUUUAAAAGGGUCCCUCAAAGAGCCUUUUAGUACCUCAUAAAGACCAGAGAUGAAAGAAGAAAACCAGAAGAGAUUCAUAGAGUAUUUGCUUGGGAGUCUGCAAAAAAAUCAGGUGUAAAUUUCUUUUGGUUUGGGACAGUCAGAGAAAUCUCCAGAAAAAAAAAGCUGAUCCAACAACUCGUCAGACUGUUUCAGAUUUUCCAGGAGCGCAGCUUUGCUAAGUCAUUCCAAAGCAUUUCUACCAAAGUUGACAUUGGAGAGAGUGACCAUAGAGUCAGAAUAGUAUAAUAUACAAUAAUAGUCAAAUUAUGACCUUAAGUGGACGGAAUGCCCAAAGUACAUGUGAAGGCUUUGCACACCAUAUAGGAGACAGGCAGGGAAUCACUUUAGUUUGUACAAAUUUCCACAGCGAGGGAGCAAAAGUGUUAACCUAAGUCUCAGGUGAAUUUAUUGAAAGGAAGGAACCAACAAGAUCUAUGCUCAUUUGGAUGAAUUUGAUUGGUGGCUUCUCUUGGUCAUUUUAAUUUACCAGGUAACUUUGACACAGACAUGGCUAAUUGUUGCUAAAUGGAGGAAUACUGCAGUGGGAUGAGAAAAGAGAAUCACAGUAUCUUCUCCCUUUGUCACUAAUUAGCUGUGUGACUUUGCACAUGUCACUUCUCUCUGGAUUUCAGUCAGCAUUUGGCUAAUUCUUAUUAUUAUCAUUUUCAUGUACAUGAAUGUAUGGGGUAAAAGUGCAGUUUUGAUACAUGACUAGAUUGCAUAAUAUUGACAAGUUUAUUUUUCAAGGACUUCUAAGUUUGUAGCAAUCUUCAAUUUUAUUUUCUUUGAACAAUCGGGUAGUUUUAAGAGGGAGAGAUUACAGAGAUGUAUACUUAAUCAAUAAUCAGGUUCUUGGGUAUUUCCUCCCCUCUUUUUGACCCCUCUUUUUUUUGGCAUGGAAAUCUUUAUUCCUGCAGAAUGCCUGAGCAUUUAAUGCAAAAGAUUUUAAUUUAAAAGAGGCUGUUUGGUCUCUGCUGGUUGCACAAUUUCUCUUUGUGUCUGUGCUGCUGAUGAUCAAAUAUUGCAAAGCCAUUAAUUACCUUAGGACAAAUGCAGAGGGCCACAUGCAAAGGUUCUGGCCAGUUGCAGAAAGCAAUAUGCCAGAUGUAAAGUAAGUGAAGGGUUUUUCUUGGUAUUUAAGGUUCAGUGAAAAAGUAAGAGGGGCAGCUAUGCCAAGAAUGAAAAGCUAGAGCUUGCCAAGUGCUUCUUUAAGUGGCUUUAGCCAAUGUGAGACUAAACAAUGCAUUAAAUAGGCAUACAACUUACUGCAGUUAGGGAAUUGCUUGUCAAAUAACACCUCUUUGCUAUGUUUUAAACAUGAUCUCAUGUAUAGAUAAAGACAAACAAAAUGUUGUGUUGUCAUCUCCUUAGUCUAACAGCUAAUAAGGCCUGGGGGUUUGAACUUUCCAGGCAACCUAAAGUAAUUCUUUGGGAUGUCUCAUGGAGAGGUGUACGAUGGAACUCUGCCAGGGCGGCAGCUCAAUGCGAAAACGAUUUUUUGCCACCAUGGGUUGUCAAAGAUGUCUGGCUGCACAAAAGAGCAAAGCCCUUGCAGGCUGUUAUCGAGAACAAUGAGACAUCUCCUUGGGAGAGACCUUGUGGCUAUUUUCACUGUGUCUGAAUCUGUGGUGUGGGCUGUAAAACCAGAAGGAAGGCUGCUGAAGAGAUGAAGUCAGCUCUAAUGGAGAUCUUGGGCAAUGAUGGCACGACACAAGAUGUCUGGUCAAAGUAUUGGAGGCCCAUUGAAUUAGCAGAAUGCCAAAAUUCUCUCCUGGAUCCAAAAUGUCUCCCCUACCAGCCACUGGAGAUAGGAUACAUUUCAAUACCAAUGGUCUUCAAACAGCUCGUUGAGUAAUACCAGCAAAGGUGGCGGUCUUGCAUCCCAACCACUGGCUGCUCCCACAUCUCCUUUAUUUUGGGGAAGUUUCUUCCUGCCUGGAUUAUGGUGUCUGUGACCACCUCCCAUUACUACGACUCUAAUAGCACCCCAAGAAAAAGUUUGGUCCAAUUAAACAGCAUUUUUUUAGUAGGUCUUUGAGAAAGACCAAUUAAACAAAUAGUUGCAAGUAAUGAAGCACUUGAGGUUUGCAGGAAGAGGAAGAAGAUUUGAAGUUGGGCAGAAGAGAAGCUCCCCAGAUCCUACUGCAUAUCCUGGUGUAUACAGGUGAGUUGCAGUGUUCUGUCUGAAUUCAGUCUGUGAAGGGUCUUGUACAGCAGCAGCCUCUAAUUAGCCUCUUCUAAAAGAAGACUUUUCUUGUGCAUCCUGAGGAAGUUUUCUUAGAAUUUCCUCAAUUUUUCCAGAAGCUAAAAUAUAGGGUCAUUACAUAGAUAUCUCUCUCAUGCCUCUUUUCAAGAAAGUGUUCAAAAUCAAUUUAGUCACCCUGGGAUUCUUGCUCCUUAUCUCCCAGAAGACUACUGGGAUUUUGGAAGCAUCUCCCUAUGCUACACACUUCUUGGAGGCAAGAGAACCUAGCUUUGUUUCUGGAACCAUUCAGUGGGGUAAGUUACAAAAUGUUCAUGUCUCACAUUUCUCAUUUGUCCCAUGAAGCAAUAAUCUUUGCCCACCAAAAGUGGAGUCAAGACAAAGUGAGAGAGCUGAUACAACUGGAUUUUGAAAAAGUAAAUAUACUAGAUAAACAUAACAUUCUUCAUGUGAUUAUUACUAAUACUACUACAUAAUUCUUACUACUCAUAAUAGGUUUUUAAUCAGCUGCCGCCAAGGAGAGAAAAUGAGUGUGUAAUUAAUUGGGCCGUUCAUAUACCUCAGCAUUGGCAAUAGAUUCUGCAAUUGAUCUCAGAAGAGAAUAAUUAAGUGUAAUAGCUCACAUAUGUGGUGCUUACUGUGUGCCAGGCAAUAUUCUAAGUUAACAUAUUCCAAUAUAAUAACUAAUUUAAUCCUAACACCAACUCUAUAAGGCAGGCCCCAUUUUACAGAUGAGAAAAUUGAGGAACAAACAGGUUAAAUAACUUGCUCAAGAUCACUCACCAAGUAAGUUGCAGAGCUGGGGUUCAAACCUGAAGUGUUUGGCAAUAGAGGCCAUGCCCUUGGUCUUGAACCCUUCGCUCUCCUGUUUAUAACUCUCCAUCAGGAGGGAGAUGGUCUUGAAGGGCAUUAGCAUGUCAGAAAAAAAUGCAAAUUAUUUUCUAAUUUUGCAUCAUUUUCUUAGUGGUCCUAUGGUUGCAGAAACUGGUCCUUUACUAUUUAAAGACAGGAACAAGCAUUUGGGGUCAAUAUAAAAACACAUUGCUUCUCUUUAAUAAUAUCUGUAGCCUAUUAGCUUAGUGGUACUAAUGAGGCCAGGGUCAUAAGGUCAAACCCCACAUGUACCAAUUAGUUUCAAAGAGAAAAGCUUUCCCACAGCUAGUGACUGUACCCCUAACUUUGACCAGCUGUCACACAGAUGCAUAGCAGGCAGUCUAAGGGGUACCAAUAAAAGGAAUGAAAAUGAUGCAACUCAAAUCCAGCCCCACUCAAAACAAUGCUAAUGGUGGGUGAGUGUGAUGUCAAAUUCACCAAUUAUACACUCUCUUCUUUAAUUGAAAAGGUAAUAGGCUGGGAAGAGGCUUUUGGUGAAGGUUUAGAAACCUGUAGAUUCUUAUUUGUCCCCUCUAAUUUAAUAAAGGGCAUCUAAAAAUGUACAUACUCACUUGACCUCACAGUCAGGAGAGUGAGAGAAUGUAAAGAUGAGAACUGUCAGUGGGUCUAUCCUAACAAAGAAAAAUGACAGUCUGUUUUCAUGAAGCGUGUGCUUCUUUGGCUCCUUAGUCCAAAAGACCUGCAUGUAUUUGGUCAUAUCUAAGCUUCUAUUCCAUCCCCGAGGGGUUGAAAUCCAGCUUAAAGCAAAACAAAACGAAGAAUCUGGCUCCUCUUACUUUAACUGGGUGGAAUCUCCUAUCUCUGGGGACCAACAGAAACUAUGUAAAUAAGAUAAAAGAGACUAAAUGUUAUUUGGUCACUACUUAAAUCCAAGGUUGUUCUUUCUUGAAUAGCACCAGAGCUUUGUUAAAUACAACCUAGACUAUGAGUCUGUUAAAGCUAGAAGAGGUCAUUUAUUUUAAUAAAAUUCCCUUGUUCUAUGGACAAGGACGUUUAGACCCAGGAAGUUUAAAUGCCUGCCAAACUCCUACAACUAAUGAACGACAGGUCUGGGAGUAGUUUUCUGGGCAGUAUAUAUCAAAGGAAAGAAGCUUGACUUAAUAAUAAUAACCUAGAUCUAAGAAGGUUGUUGCAAUCAAUAACAAUGAAAGUUCAUUGUAAAGUUUCACUUAAAGCUCUUACAAAACAGUCUGUUUUAACCCAUGAAGAAUGCCAUUCGUUUAUUCAGACCUGUUCUUAAUAACUAUACAUUGGAAGUAUGUUUUACAAAAGCUAUAAAUCCUGAAGAGCUGAAAGAAUAUCCAACUUGGCUUUUCUAAUUGAUUUACUUCUCCAUUUCCCCAGACCGCCAAGGUAAAGCAUAUACAGUUUAUUUAAGGGACUGUUUAUAGACUCUUAAAACUUAAAAAGACCCCAGAAACUCUCUUUCUUUCAGUUGCUCUUAAUUGAAACCAUCCAAGAUGGUUGGUUGUCUGUCAAUUUUUUAAGAAUCUCCAAGGAGAGAAAUUCCACAGGCCCAUAGCAGCAUGUUAAAAUGGUUAAUCACCAUGGCUGUCAAAAAUUAUAUCUAUGGUAAGCUUCACUUCUCCUAUUUCAUUUGAAGCUCUUUUUCUCUUGGUGUUUUUCAUGCAAAAUGAGGUUGUAAUGAGCCACCCUUUAUAAGGGCUCCAUCAAUCUAGUAAGAAAAUCGCUAGCUCCUUCCCAAUGUGCUUUCAUCUCCAUUAUGCCACCAUUUUUCUCACAGGACUGCAAGAACACAAGGCUGGCUGAUAGGCUCUCCUAUCUUCCCUAUGAUGCAUAGGAAAGAAUGAGUAAUUAGCUCUUCAUUGGGUCUUUCAUUUCAUAAAAUGUCUAGGGAAGCUGCAUUAAUUAUACAUGAACUGUUCCAUUUAUGAUGGGAUAAUGUUCACAAACAGAUAAUCUAGAAGGUUGCUUUCACUUGCUGUAGUGGAACUUGGGCUUGAAGGGGAAUAUGAGCUCAAUUCACAUCAUUGGGUCAAUCUACACACAGUAAGCAUUACAAAAUAUUUUAUUCAGAACAGUUCUAAUAGAGUUAAAAAAAAACUCUCCUUGUUAAAUAUUGCAGAUUGACAAAAAUGAUAGAUAUGGAGGCAAUUUUCUUUUAGAUGUUUGAAUUUCAAACUAAAAUCAGAAACUGCCUUCUACUACUAAAAAAAUUGUACUUCCAAAAUGGAUUUGAAGCAGUUUAAAAUAAAAGUCACAGCCACAAUAAAACUUUGAAAAUAAGUGUAAAGAGAAUAAUAGGAGUCAACUGACAGUGUAUAGAGGUGGGGAAGAAUGCUUCCCUCUAAAAAGUAUUUCAAAGACUAUGUGCUUAGAGCUGACUUCUCCACACACAGUAAAUCUCAGCGGAUGAAAAGGAAACUGAAUGAAAUUUGUUGACAACAAUUGAUGCCUGUAGGAAUAAUUGGCUCAGACACAAAACAGACAUCAAUGUAGCCUGGGGAUGACCAAAAUGCAGCAGCCUCUAAGUCAUUGUUAGUAUAUAUUUUUUCAGUUCAAAAAAAAAUAAAAGCAGUUUUAUUAAAUAACUAGAUAACCAUGAGGUGAGAAGUAUUGUCCACAGUACUUGACAACCUUAAUUCUUGAUGGUUCUUAAGACCAAGAUCCCAAACAAGUAAUUCCAUUCUAUUCGAUUGGAUUCAACUAGACUCAAUUCAAUUCAAUUCAAUCCUGUCAGUUCAACAAUCAAAUAUGGGCAGCUACUAUAGCAUCCAGGCUAUGAGCUAGACACUUGGAUUCAAAUGUAAAUAAAUAUGUCCUUUGGCAUCAAGAAGCCCAUUGACAGGGUAUUAUUCUUGGCAGGGUAGACCAAAAUAUUCAAGAAAAACAUAAAGGAUAUAAUUUAUUCUCCAUGGUUAUUUUUCUCUUAUGACAAUAAUACUUAGUUGCAUUUUUCUUUUACCACUCAACUGUAAGCCCCUUGAAAACAAGGUCAAUCUCUCAUUCAUUUCUAGGCAUCUCAUUCAUAUCUCAUUCAAUGCUUACACAUAACAGAUGCUCCAUCAAUGUUUUGAAUUACAUGAAAAUAAUCUAAAUGGACUAAUUUCUUUUGGGCAAAUAAGAUUGUCCAGUUGACUAGAAAGUUAGCAAGAAUACUUUUGGGCAUGAAGGUAUGUUGGACACUUCUGUGCAUGAGGGUAUGUCGGAUUAACAUAAGUCAUGGAAUUCUAUAAGGCAAAACUCAUGACACACAUAUUUUCAAUGACAAUACUGACAAGAACAUAUGAUUUACAAAGCCACUUUCUAGCUAAAGUCAUAUAGUAAGAAUCAAGAUUUGCUAUAUAUAACAUUUCCUUUUCAAGUUAUUGAGAUACAAUUUUUAAAAAUUUGCUGAAAUUUGAUUGUUGCAGUAACAGAAUAAGAGAACCUGGAAAUUGGUUUCCAUUUUAGUUGUCCAAUAUCCUUAAGUGUCUGUGCAAACACUUAUAAGUAUCAUACAGUUACUUAGGAACAAUCAUUUUUUCCAUUCUAAUUUUUCAUCAUUUAAUGCAAACAUCAUAGGCAUAGAAAGAUCCAGUUUUCAUGCACUGUGCAUGGAAAUUCUGGAGCAAUGUCGUGUUGAACAUCACAAUUCAACCUGGCACGUAACAGAGGACACUUCUAGGCUUGGCAAUUACCUAGUGAACUGGAUCAAAGGAAAUUGCACAAAUGGAUUAUCAAGGAAAAAAAAAGUCCCCUUGGGCAUAAUAAGUGAGAACCACUUUUUCAUUUCUUUAAAAAAUGAGGAUCAGUAGCUGCAAAUUAUAGAAUAAUUAUGACCCACUGUUGGAUCAUGUGAUGUCCCACAGUUAUCUUCCACAGGAUAUUUUAAAGGUAAAACAAGUCUGCUAUUGGAAAAUCACUCACCCAAUGCACUCAUUCAUCUGCUCUGCAACAGAGAACUGGAUAGAAUUGCUUUAUUGCCAGAAAAAUAAAUGAGUUCGUUCAAUUAAAGGACUGGCUGGAAGCAAAUAGUGGGAAUUUGCCUAUUCAAAUAGUAGAAGGCACUUCUGAUUCUUUGUCACUAGUGAUUUAAAAACUAUUUGUUGCCAAAUCCACUGUAAGUACUGAUCGCCAAUACCCUCACAAGCCUCUUUCUUCCCAUCUCCCUUACUGAUCUCCAGACUGGUAUACACAGGCCACCCUCUACCCUGCCAGUCAUACACACACAUACCCCACCUGCCUAGAGAGAGGCUGACAUUUGGGAAGGAUGAGAGAGACUUCAAGUGUGUGAGUCAUCACAGGAGCUAUUCAAAGCAUAGUGGGUAACUGAGGUAAGCUGUCUACACUGGAGUGAUAUGAACCUUUAAGAAUGACUCAUGCUCAGUUUCCUGGAACUCUCUAAAACUCCAAAGAAUUAUAAGGAACAAGCAUCUGGCUUUAAAUCUUUCUCUGUCCUAUAAUAUACAGUGAGAUAGAUGCAUGGGAGCUAGAUUCUUUAAGUGAUCAGUUCCCACAGGAAUCAUUGACUUUUGCUUGUGUGUAUUAUUUAUACGCCUUGACUUGGCUGUCUACUUUUUACUGGCUGUUGACUUUCUAAUCACCUAAGAGCUAUUUAAGAGAUAAGUGAUUCUGUACUUGUCAGAGACCCUUUUCCAGAUGGUGAUAUCAUUGAUGGGUCCCGGAGAAGAACUAUGCCAAAAGAGAGCAACAACAAAAAAAUCAAGGUCAAGUGGCAUAGAGGGCAAAUCAGUAUGGCAUUUCAGUUUGCAUUUAGAGACAGUCUGUGUAUUUGCAAACAGGCCUGCCUUUAAGGGGAGUUAACCUUCUGUCUGUUCAUGGUGAUUUCAUAUUGAAUGGAGACAUCUAGGAUAUGCCCUUUAAUAUUUUUUUUCCCAGAUCCACAUGACUGGAGAGUCCUUACUAUUUUACUCCAAAUCACAUAGCACUUAAAGCAGCCCUGCAUGUGUUCCAUAUGUUUAUAUGUGCGCCCAUAGGUUUUGAAAACAAAAACAUCAAUACCUCAGGGUUAUUUUGUCCUGUCCUUUCAUUGAAAGGAAUGGAAUAGUGAGGUGGAUCAUAAUAGUUGAAAGAAGGCUUAGCAGGAAGUAGUUAAAGACGAAUUGUUAAGGAGGAAAAUUCCAUCCUAGAUCUGCAAAACCUGCCAAAGUCCCGCCAAAACACUAUGCUUACUUUAAGGUGAGGAAUCUCAGAGGCCUAGGAUGGCUGCCAGAUACGGGCACUCAUUCAGUUAUUCACACACUCCCUGCGGUUGUAAAUCCACAGAGCUGUACACUUUAGACUUGAGCAGCACAUUGAGAGGGAGGGCUACUUACUGAAAUAAAAGCCCCUGUCUCCACACACGAACUGAAGAGCAUCCACCAGCUCAGCCCCGCAGAGCGUCUCCGGUCCAGCCGUGGCAGAGCUGGUGAAGGUGAGCAGGCACAGCGCCAGGUAGAAGAGAUGCGAGGAGGACAUGGUGUGCAUCUUCACCUGCCCAAGAAACAGAGGGAGGGUCAGGUUUCCUCCUUGAUCCUUGCAAGGGGAGUGGGGUGGGACAGAAGUGCAUUGACUCCCACGAUUCCACGACUGUCAUUAAUCAGGACUACCCAGCACAGAAGCCAAUAGAGUACAUGAGAACCCAGAGGGAGUUGUGGAUGGAGCGUGUCUCGGCAUCCAACAACCUGUGUUUAUUCCCCUGGCUACUGUGGAUCUUUGGAGGAGUCCUCCCUGAACCCUUUCUUUAUGGGUUCCUAUUUCAAUGAAUUGAGACAAAAUAUCUAGAAACGUUUACUACGGAAAUGAAAGAUGCUAUUAUUACAGUGGGAUCCCAUAUCACUCUGAGACCCUGGUAGAACUUUUGAAUUAUCAAAGGUUAAAUUGUGCUCAGUACAGAUUUGGGGCCAAAUAAGUUUUGUUAAUUUAAAUUCUCUCAAUAUUGGCCAUCCAUAGAUGGUAUAUGCAUUCAUUAUUGAGCAGAAUAUUUUUAACCAAAACAUCAUUCCCUAUUUUUGACUAAAAAUAAUUUACUAUGGCCAAAAAAUGGCUUUUGACAAUACUAUAUAUCAUCACAGGGUUUUGUUUUUGUUUUGUUUCCUCAAUAUGAGAGAGAGAGAGAGAGAGAGAGAGAGAGAGAGACUGAUUCCUUACCUGGGGCAUAUCAGCAGUUGACACAACCACAAAUAGAAGAAAAUAACAGAAACAGAAAAAAAUAUGAGAAUCGAAGAAUGAAAUUGGCUCAAAUAGAAACCACUCCUGUAUUCUAAAGUCCCUGGCCUCAAGUCCAAUAUCAAAUCAACACGUGUUGAGAAUCCCUUCUGUGUAUAGGGCACUGGGCUCAAACUGGCAAAAAUCUUUUAUUUUAUUUUUAGUCACAGGAAUUAUGGCUUCAUCUCUUGGAGGGACUUAUGUGUCACUGUAUCUAUUUUAUAGCAAAAUAUACCAAGGGACCCCUGGUUGGCAUGACUUAGUCAAUGAUAGACUGCCAAACGGCAGCCUUGCCAAAAGCAGCAGUCCUGUGGCUCAAGUCUUCAUCCUCACUCUAAGUAGUAGAAACCAUGCUAAGAUGAUCAUUAAGUUUUUCCAUAUUGUUACUUGUGGCACAAAGAUGUGGCUUUUUCCAAGAAGCCUCUCAAGGUGAGUGGCUUCACUUCUCUCAGAUGCAUCUACUUUCAGCAUCAUGGGAAGAGUCCCUGACAGGGUGUUAGGUGAGGGGCGCUAUUAAAAGGGUUGUGGAGUCAUGCUGGAAGCUAUAAUUAUAAGAAGAGCAUUUUUUUUGAACCUCAGAGUAGUGGCAGGUCCAUUCAACCCCAUCACUUUUGGAGAAACAGUCAUUUAUUUUCUGACUACCCUCCUUGCCCUCCAUGGACUCUCAAUUUAGUGGCUCUAUAUCAGUGGCAAAAUUUUCCCCAUCAUUCUAAUGAUGAUUUCCAUUUUUUGUAGUCAGACCUUCACCUCAGCAACUGAGGAAAAAAAAAAAAAACCAAAACCCCUGUCUCUCGUUAACAAAAUAUAAAUAUUCAGUUAAUGGUUGUAAAGCAGUUGAAGAUGAAAAGCGCCCUCUAUUUGCAAAUGAUCAUAAAUAAUGGACAUAAAAUAGAAGAGGAGGUAAAAGCUCAACUGAACAUUUACUGCAUUUUUCUCAACAAGAUCUCCGCAUGGAAAUCUUCCACCCCCUACAUAGCCCAAAACACUGGGACUGGAAGAAGCAUGUUAUCAUCCAGUUCUCAUUUUUUUUUUUUUUUGGUUGUAAAAUUAGUGGGGUUUUCCUGUUCAAUAUUUCCAUUGGAAACCUCAACAAAUCCAACCCACCUGGACCUCGUGGCAUUUUUCAAAAGAACAAACCUGUGAUUGAUCUUGCAGAGCAUACCCCCACACUGCGGGAAUGGGCCAGUUCUAGAAAGUAUGUUAUUCUACCGAAUCCUAUUUCUCCACCCCUCCCUUCUUUGUUGCGUUCAUAGCAAUGCUGAAGGCUAAGCACCUGCAACUGUAGAUGCCUUCAAGUUCUUCAGUUUUUGUGAAAUCCAGGGAAAAAAAUUACUCAAGUUAUAGCCUUAGUGAAUUUCAAACUUCAUUAGAUGUCAAAACUAUAUUUUUAAUAGUUCUAGUAUAACACAUUUAAGUGCAGCGAUACAUAUAAGUCUCUGGAACUUAAGAAUUUAAGAUUUUUUUUAAAUAGAUUUCUCUUUUUCUUUUUUUUUUUUUUUGCUGAGUUAUAUUGUCAGAUAAAUCUCAGUACUUACAGUUCUAGGACAAGACAGAACCUCUAGUGCAUUUUCCUUUAGUGUAGGGAACAGUCCAGUACACCCACAGAGAACCAGAGAAUUUUAUGUUCCCACAAAUGAAAACAAUACCGAACUUGCUUAGGAGUUUAAAGUGUGAAACAAGUGGUCCCAUAUGUUCAUUAUUUCCUUGGCCUUUUAUUUUGCCAAACACAAAAGAAAUCAAUAGAGAGAAAGGAAAGAUAUGAUAGAAAAAAAAGGGAAGAAUCAGAAAGACAUGAGAAAAAAAGAAAAAAAAAUCAGAAAACACUUUCUCAAAAAUCAUUCACAAACCCAAAUUUUAAAAGUUCUUUUUUUUUUAAUCUUAGAUAAAUGGAAUAUUAAUUGAUUCCAGAUGUCUGGGCCACAAUGAAAAUGCCCUGUAAAAUUUGAGGGCAACAGUCAUAAGAAAAUACUCACUGUAGGUGUAAUCAUUUUUGUUUGUUCCAGGUCUUUUACAGCAGGUCAGGGUGGGUAUUAUGAGGCCGAUGUGAAUAGAAAACUGAAGUCUUAAAAACAUGUGCUGCUUUGUGGGUGGGGUUUGUGAAAGCAUCUAGUUACAUUUGGACACCCAGGCAGGUAUGCUAUUAUGAGCCUGGGUAAACUGCCUUUUGUCCAUUGAAACAAUGAACAAAUUGCACAGCUGGGAUUUAAGUCAAUCUUUUCCCCCCAGUCAAGCCACCUAUUUCCAUUGUAUGCCUAUUGUAGCAGCCCAGAUAGUGACCCAAGCUCCAGUCCACUCCCUUACUCCCUUCCCCCGACUCACUCACUUGGAAAUACCUUGAGAGUCAGAGUACAAUCAGCUGGUGAGCUCUGCCUCUGGGCAGGACACCUUUACCCACUGAAUUACAUGUGAAAGACCACGCAGCUCCCUCAAACCACUUCCUGCUUCAAGUACAGAAAAAAGUAACAACUUAUUAAGAGCUCCACUUCUGAAGUGUUCAGCAUACACAGCAUGAAAAGUGCAUUUGGAAACAAUUUUCUUAACUUGUAAUUAAUGCAGAGAUAACGCUCCACAGCCUCUUUUAUGAUCCCCUAAGUAAGGAGACAAAAACUCCAGCUGCUAGAUCACAUAGUAUGUAUGCACAGUGACGUCAUUUCUUUGAAAGCAAGGUGGCCUGCAUGUGUUGGCAUCUCAGGAACAGCAGAAUCAGGUGCCUGACAAGGGUGUAUCUUUAACUCCUGGAGCCACUUACUUGACUAGGGAAAGUCGUAGUGGUGAAGUGUUUGAAAGCAGCAACUGAAUGCUGCACUAAGUGGCAGAGACGUCUUAUGAAUUGAGCCCUCAGGCAAUUGAAUCGGUGGAGCCAGUGACAGCAGCUUAAAAGCGCUUGCAAAUUGAAAAAAAAACACAAGUCUUGAAGGAUAUAAUUUUGCUGAGAAUGGAAACUAGAACUACGGCCAGCAAUCGGAAACGAGAAGUCGGUGCACUGACAGCAGCAGCCAGAUUUACCUAAAGGGACUUCACGACACUGAAUAUAAAAUCAGAGUUUUAUAACACAGAACCCCAAGUCCAAACUUUGCCCAUGAAAGUCCUCUUCUAAACAGAAAAGUUGGGCAAGCAGCUCUUAGAAAGUUUCUGCUUUCCAUAUACAGUAUGUAUUUGUUUAAAUUAUACAAAUAUGCAAGGUCAGCAAGAGUUGUCAAGGAGUUCUUUUUUGGAAGAACAAAUUACACUUUACUCUAACUUUAACACUCUCUCUGGGCAUAAGUGCAGAGUUCCGGGACCUUAGCUCCAAAGAUCAUAUUUAAAAGCUUUAAUAUCAUCUAAAAUACAACCCUUCAUAUAUAGCAUGCCUUGUAAAUAAAGUCCUGAUGAGUUACACACACAGAGACACAUACACACAGAGACACAUACACACAUGCAAAAGAACAUGGUCUUAAAAAUAAAACAUCUGCACCUGCAAAAGAAAAAAAAAAUCCCCAAGUUCAUAUCCAUGCUCUAUAGCCCUUAGCCAUAGAGAGGAUUUAAAGGAAUCUUCUGUAAUGACACCACGGAAGCCCUGCAGAAGUGGAGGAUUUAGCAUAAGUACCUUGCAAUAGUUUCUACUCAUACAGAUAUCUGUGCAAAUGCAUCCAUCUCCCCGAGCUAUUUUUCAGAUUCCACAGAAUUGCAUAUUCAGCAAUUUAUAAAUAACUCUCGGUUCCGAAACAAUGAAAAUUUUAAAGUGAAGAACAGUUCUAGGCAGAAGCAAACAGUACACAAUUUAAAUAGAAUUCCCCAAUGACUUCAAAGAGUAAGAAAUAUUUACCUUCAAGAAAUCACAAAAGCAGCACUUAAAUAAUUGGGUUGGAAGACUGCUGAUUUUUCCCAUUGCUUCUGAAGUACAAAGUCUGAAAAUGAAUUGGUUAGCAGGAAUAAUGAAGCAAAAAGAAAUCCAGAGAGAUGGGAGAUGUUGAGAGCAAUGUCACAUUUCAAUUUUGAGGACUUUAUUCCAUUGCGCAGGCUCUAUCUGCUCUGAAUUUAGCAGUGACAGUGAGAUUUAGCAAACAGAAGAGGGAUUUAGAGAAAAUCCUCACAUUUAUCUACAAAACACAGACACUGUAGACAGGAAACAGCUGGGGGAACAUUUGCCUUCUCUCUCUCUCCCUCUUCUGGCAAAGUUAUUGAGUAAGGACUUUUUUGGGCAUGGUGACAAAUAACAUCAUACCUUUGCAUUUUAAAACUAGAGCACAGAAGCAUUUUUUUCCCUUAAAAGAAUGUGUGUUAGUGACAGGGUUCGCAGACAUUAAAAUACUUAUGCUGCCAUAGAAAAUAAGGAUCUGUUUUCUGAUUAACUUUCUGCUGGGCAUGAAGACACAAACGUCUGCUAAUACACCUUACCAGUAUUAAAGGAAUAUGGGGGAUGGGAGAGCAAUUUUAGAUUCUAGAGCAAAUGCAUUAUUUAAAACAAAAAAAGAAAGAAAGGACGAUAAGACCCUCUCCAGCAAACUCUACAAUUUUAACCCUGAAGUGACUGGGGUAAAGUAGAUUGGAAGACAGCACUCGGGUGACCCCUUGUCCCAGUUGCCAAGUGAGAGGUGUGAUCUCAUUUCCUAGAACCUAUGGAGGGGCAGGCAGCAUUGGAUUGGUCCCUUUAGGGCACUGUCUCAUACUUUUUCUCCUGCGAUGAGGCAAAGACUAUGCCGAGCUGUAAAACCCAACUGAAAUAGAACAUUUUUCUUUAUUCUUCUACUAGGCUGCCUGUCACUGUCCCCUCCCCACCCCACCACUCUGGGAGAAGGGUACCUGGGGGGCAAACAAUUUUCCUGUUGUUUGAAUUUUCCAUAUAACUCAAACCUGUGUGUGUGUGUGUGUGUGUGUGUGUGUGUGUGUGUGUGUAUGACAGAGGGAGUCUGUGUGCCAGAGUGUGUUUUCUUUCUCUGAUUUUUGUGUAUUCUAAAUAACACCAGCUGGCUAGCAAUACCCUCUCGAGGGUUAUGAUGUCAUUCAAAUCCCUCAACUGGGUGACUGGCCGGCAACAUGGUCCAAGCCAGCUGUUUUGCUAUUUAUAAUGUACACUUGCCUUUGCCAUUGAGAAUUCAGUUCUGAUCUUUUGUCGAUACAGUUUGUACCUAUUUCCCUUUGGUUUUGUGAAGCAGUAGAUAAGAAAGUGAAUUAUAAAAUAAGGUUGCAAAAGCCCAGAGCAGACAUACCUCUUUCCCUAGAGAGCUCUCCAGGCCUGGUUUCCCAGGAGUGGUGGAAAUAACCUGGACCUUGAAUUUUUUCUUUUUUUUUUUUUCCACAUGACUCUCAGGGGACUGACACAUCAACUGAAAACACAGUUCUGCUUGAAAUCCUACUCUGGCUCUUUGUGUUAUCCUGGGGCCAGAAAUUUGUUUGUAGAAGUGGGUGCCCUAACAAAAAACAAACAAACCUGCUUUGUUUGGAAGGGGGUUGGGUUUGUUUGAGUCUUCUGUGUGGUUAAUACAUUGUAGCAAUGUUUACCUUUCAGAAAUCAAAGUUAGAAAUCUGGAAUUAUGUUGUGUCAAUGGUGCACUAUGUUCAGCAACAUUUUGUGAGCUCUACUAUGUGCCCAACUACAACAUCCCUAGGAAAACAAAGAGGAAUAAGAUAUGGUCAAGUCCCUUCAGGGGCUUUCAGCUGAAUGUCAGAGACAAAGAGGAAAACUUCACAGUCAUAUGAUGGGCAUGUGCUCUUUUAAAAACAUGAACAGUGCACAAUGAGAGGGAGUGACACAUUCUCUGGGAAGACAGGGGAGUAAAAUCUUUUGGAAAAUCCAAAAUGAGGGAGGCAGAUUGUGUCAUGAGAGGCUUUGGGGUACCAUGUUGGGAAAUUUCAGUGGGUGGGAUUUGACCCAAAGAGCACACUAAGAGGUAUCAUCAAGAGGUGGCCUAGUAGGUGGCCCUGGAUUAUUCUUAAUGCAGGGAUUAUCCACAUGUGCAGAUGUGUGAGUAAUCCCUGCAUUUAAUAAUAAUCCGUGGCUUCCUUUAAUAAGCUCUCUUUGUACACUUGAUUUGUGACAAAUCUUUUUCUUUUCUGCAGUUUUUGUGGAUCACACCCUUUCUGAAAAAUGUCUAUUCUCUUACAGACUUUGAGGAUGUAGAUUGUAUAAAACAAUAGAGCUGAUCUCACCUGUCUUCCAGAUGAGAAAAAACCUCUUUAACCAAGUUUGGAGAGUCAGAUACUGGCUGGAGUCUUGGUGCUAAGUUCUUGUUCCAACAUUGGACACCAUUACAGGUGAAGGCCAGGACUUUGUUUAACCCCUUCCCACUGCAGUUUUAGCAUACUUUAAUUGUUCCAAGAUGUCCUAGAAGCUAACUAUAUGUCUCCAAGUCUAUCACCCAUUUUGAUGUUCUCUCUUGGCAUGCUCGGUGCACAGAUAUAACCUUAUCCACAAGCAUUUCAUAUGAAAGGCUGUUUUGGGGACAGAUGCUGUACUCCAGCGAUAUUGACACACUGACUCACAGUCUCUCGGUUUUGUAACCCCAAUUACCCUUAAAGGAUAAUUAGGUUUUAAUUUAUGUCCUAGUUUUUAUGUCACAAUCAAAGAAAACUGAAAUUUCAGUGAGUCGUAAUUGUCAUCAGCUGUGCUUUGGAAACAUUCCAAUGAGAGCUAUCAGUUUCCAAUGGGGGAAGCAAUUUCCUGAGGUGAUUAAUGUAUAUUUCAAUUUGGAGAAUGGUCUAUAUUUUUGGACAGGGUGAGCCAGCAAUGGAUCAGGGCAAUAAUUCCUAGAGAAAAGGUCAUUUUCUUGGCUAAUUCCAGGAGUCAAUAUGAAAAUGAAAGAGCAAUAAACAUGCCACCAGAUUACUUUUUAAUGGCUAAGUGAUGUACCUGUUUAGGAGUAAAAGAAAUGAAUGCACCUAUUACUACAAAUCCAAGGUAGUAGUAAAUCUAAAGCCCAAGAGGAGUUCAGGUUAUGAAGUCCCAUUGGAGAGAAACAUCUAGGGUCAUUAUAAAAGUAUGGAAUGAUUAUGUAGUCUCCUGCCUGCAAAAAUCUGACAGUGAGAUAUGGCCACCAAAAUAGCUAACCGCAAGGAUGUGCUUAUCAUAAGAACAUCCACUCCUGGAAAUUCAGAGAUUCACAGUUUCACCUUUUGCAUGUGUAAUGCCUGUGGGAUAUAAAUAACUCUCCCCUAAAGCCUUCUUCUUGAGUAGCAUAUUUGCAUAAAGCUACAGCCUCAGAAAACUUCUGACACCUUUCGCACACACACAGAAAAAAUUGUUCAUUUCCUUAAAGGGUGAGCUGGCUAAGGUACACAGAAAGCAGGGGUGGGGUGGGCAAGGAGGCCCUCCCUGUCUUCCCCCCAACUUUUUUUUUCUUCUCAAGCCAUGUUCCCAGUCUUUCCUGUGUUAACUGGAGAGGCGUUCAUCCAAAAGGCAAAAAUGGACUGUUUGGUGUUGGAGGCUGAGCAGAGGUGGGCAAAAAGGAACAGAAGGAGAGUAACUGGUGAAGAAGGAGCAAAGAGUGAGGCACAAAAUGAAGUCUCACCAUGUUGCCCAAGCUGGUCUCAAACUCUUGGCCUCCAGAAAUCCUCCAACUUCAGCCUCCCAAGGUGCUGGGAUUACAGGUAAUAGCCACUGUGCCCAGUUAAGGUGCAACUUCUUUAUGGAGCUUUUCUUUACUUCUCCAAGCAAAAUUAGUUGCUCCCUUCUCUAUGUUCUCUGUACAUUUUAGUUUGUACCAUAUAAAAUUGCCUCUAUGUAACCAUUUUUGACCUACAAAUCUGGCAAUUUUAUAUCAUUUAGCCAAAUAUCUCCUUAUCCCAUUGUAUUACAUUUUGGGUUGGCAUGUGUCUAUCCUCUCUCCAUUCCACCCCCCAGAAUGUAAGUUCCAUGACAGUUAACAGUAAGAGCUGACUUUCUGUGUGCUUCCUAGGAGGCCAGGACUGUUCUACACACUUGAAGUAAAUUAACUCUUUUAAUUCUUAGAGCAAUGGUGUAAUGAUGAUACUUUUCUAUGCAUAGUACCACUAGAUAAGUGAGGAAGCUGAGGCACACAGAAGCUGUAUUUGUCAAGGUUCUCCAGAAGGACAGAACUAGUCAGAUAUAUGUCUAUAUUAAAGGGAGUUUAUUAGGGAGAAUUGGCUCACACAGUCAAAGGUGAAGUUCCACACAAUAGCCACCUGCAAGCUGAGGAAGAAAGAAGCCAGUAGUGGCUCAGUUUGAGUUCAAAAGCCUCAAAAGCAGGAAAGCCUACAGUGCAACCUUCAGUCUGUGGCAAGGCCUGAGAGCCCCAGCAAACCACUGGUGUAAGUAGUCCAAGGGUCCAAAGGCCAAAAAACCUGGAGUCUGAUGUCCAAGAGCAAGAGGAACAGAUGGAAGCAUCCAGCACAGGAGAAAGAUGAAAGCCAGAAGACCCAGCAAGACAGCUUAUCCCACCUCCUUCCACCUGCUUUAUUCUAGCCACGCUGGCAGCUGAUUGGGUGGUGCCCACUCACAUUGAGGGUGGGUCCAGUCCACUGACUCACAUGUCAAUCUCCUCUGGCAACAUUCUCACAGACGCACCCAGAAACAACACCUUACCGGCUAUCUAGACAUCCUGCAAUCCAAUCAAGCUGACACCCAGUAUUAAUCAUCACAGAAUCUAAGUAACUUGCCCAGCCUCACAAAACUUGACAGAGCUUGGAUUUGAGCCUAGGUUAUCUGUCUUUAAGGUCCAGAGACUUAACCAUUUCUCUAAAAUCCUUCUAUUACUAUUCUGUCUGGUUGUGUUUUGUUCACCACUGUAUUCCCAGGGCUAGCACAAGGCUAGGGACCUACUAGGUGCUUAGUAAAGAGGUGAAUUAAAUGAUUUUGUACCAGUCACAUUUACUGAGCACCUACUCUGUGCUCCCAGAUGUUGUGGUGGUAGGCACCAAGAAAAAUAAGGCCCAGUCCCCACCUUUAUGGAGAUGGUGGCCAAGCAGGGGCCCCUGGAAACAGUGUAGCAUUUACAUUGAGGAGGCUGAACGUCAGAGGUGAGGAGAACUAUGGAUGGCCUGUUGUGUACCUGGAGGUAGAACAGGUGAUGGAGAAGUCCUGAGAAAGAGAAGGGUAGAAUUAUCCAUGUGAAGGAGGGUCCAGGUUCAAUGCAGAUGUGUUCUAGACAGAUGGAGCAGCUUAUGCAAAGGCCCUGAGUUGGGGCAGGGUAGGGGGAGAAUGGCAAAGCAGGGGUGGGAGUUCAGAGAAUGUAGAACUGGGGCCGCUGGGCCCUAGGGCCUAGAUUACAACUUCAGCUGUAUCAUUUAUCUCCUUAGUGACUUUGGGUAGAUUUCUUACCUCCUUAUGCCUCAGUUUCCUCUUCUGUAAAAUGGAUAUAAUAACAGUACCUGUCUGGUGAGAUUCAAAGGAAGCAUUGCCUUACUUAUACUCAAAGUAUACAGAAUAGUGUCUGGUUCAUAGAAAAUGCUCUAACAUAAUUCUUAAGGAAUUAAAUUUCCUGAGUGUGUAGAAGUUCAUGAAAGAAAAUAUUUGCUUCAGGAGAGUUAGAAAUUUGCGAUUAGGGCUUCUGUAUUAGUCCGUUCUUGCACUGCUAUAAAGAAAUACCUGGGACUGGGUAAUUUAUAAGAAAAGAGGUUUAAUUGGCUCACAGUUCUGCAGGCUGUACAGGAAACAUAGUGGCUUCUCUUUCUCGGGAGGCCUCAGGAAGCUUACAAUCAUGGCGGAAGGCAAAGGGGAGCAAGGCAUCUCACAUGUCAGGAGCAGGAGCAAAAGAGAGGGAGCGGGGUGGUGCUGCACACUUUUCAACAACCAGAUCUUAUGAAAACUCACUCAUUGUCACAUGGACAGUACCAAGAAGAUGCUGCUAAACUAUUUAUGAAAAAUCUGCCCCCAUGAUCUAAUCACCUCCCACCAGCCCCCACCUCCAACAUUAGGGAUUGCAAUUUGGUGGGGACAAAGAUCCAAACCAUAUCAGCUUCAAACUGCGUUCUCAUAAUUAUAAAGUAAUUGGAAUAAUAGCCACCAUGUAUUGUGUGCUUAAUAGGUAUUCCAUGGCAUGCUAACCUCAAAACAACCUUGGGAAGAAGGUACUACUGUCUCCAUUUUAUACAUGAGUAUGUGAGGCACAGGGAGGUUAAAUCAUAGUCUCACAAUUAGCAAAUACAUAGAAGACAGGUUUUAAUUCAGACAUUGGCCUUCUGAGUCCUUGUGCUGAGCUACUUUGCCACAAUGAUUUUCUGGUUUGCAAUUUUAAAAUGAGAGUCAAGUUGGAUGCAGUGGCUCAUGCCUGUAAUCCCCAGUGGUUUGGGAGGCCAAUGCGGGAGGAUUACCUUGAGGCCAGGAGUUUGAAACCAGCCUGAGCAACAGCAAGAUCCUGCCUUACAAAAAAUUUUAAAAAUUAGCUGGGUGUGUUGAUGGUCACUGCCAUGGUGAUGAUUACUCGGGCCCAGGAGUUCAAGGCUGCAAUGAGCUAUAUAGUGCCACUGCACUCCAGCCUGGGAAACAGAGCAAGACCCUGUCUCUAAAAUAAAUAAAUAUAUAAAUAAACAAACAAACAAAAUCAGAGUGAGAUGGUAGGGCCCUAAAUCAGUCUUGGUUUAAUGGAACUAUUUGAAAAGUAACGAACAAAAAAAGUAUAAAGGAAUGAAUAAAUGUUCCUAUGACAUAUGCUUGUUGGUUUCCAUCACUUUGGGCUUCUUUCAAUUGAUUGAUAAUAACUCCAUUCCCUUGAGAAAAAUCAGUAAGAGUUUACAUACAGCUACAGGUCACUCUUUUGGGCCAAAUGUUUAAGAAAUAAUCAGUGGAGUUUUCUUCCUUCUUUGUUUUUCAUCUUCUCUUAAAAUUUUAAACUAAGCAAAAGAUUUCAUCUAAGUUUUCAGUCUGAUGUCUUCAAAAUAAAACAUUUUAAGAGGAAAAAACCCGUAAACAUGUCACUGGUAGAAUUAUGCAUAAUUUUAGAAAGGAAGCAGUAGGGUGCAGUGUUAGAACUAAAGAUUUUAGAAGACCAGAAUGUUAAGCCUGUAUGAGACUUUAAAGAUCAUCUGGUAAUGAAAGAGUUAAGGUAAAGGACCUGCUCUUGAAACUUGUGAUCUUGGGUAAGUUAUUUAACUUAUCUGAACACCAGAUUCCUGUCUCUUAAGUGGGGAUAAUAAUAAUACUUGCCAUGAAGGUUAUAACAUGAAGAGUAAAUGCGUUCAUUCAUGAAAACCGCUUCCUACGAUGCCUGGCAGUCAGUGUGCAAAGUUACUUUCCCAAGGUCAUCCAUGUAGUUAAUGUCAGAAAACAGAAUUUUUCACUCCUAAUCCUGUUUUCCAGGCAAGUAUGUUUUUUUUAACAGCAGAUUAUUAUGAACAUUCUCAACAUAAUUGAUACUUGAGUCUCAUUGUGUGUGUUUGCUUCUAGUAACUAUAUCGAUUCACGUUUGUUUUCUAUUCUUUUUCCCUUCUGAUAUUAUGAUAUUAAUUCUUCAUGUAGACAGCCUUUUCAUAAAUUUCUGAGCAAUAAUAUUAGUCCUAGGUUAAAGCCAGACAGCUGAAUUUAUGGUAUGUAUCCCUUAAAAAUUAUUGUUAUCUCAAACAACUUUACAGGAAAAAAAGCAUCAAUUGAUGUUAAACCUCAAAUAUGCGUUUGUUUUUAGCUGAAAAUUCCAAGCAGAAUUACCCAAGUAUUGAAAAUCUUCAGAAAGAGCUGUAAGUUGAUGGAUAUCUCAAUUACCCUGAUUUGAUCUUUACUCAUUAUAUAAAUGUAUCAAAUUAUCAUGUUUCCCCCCACAUAUGUAUACAUAUUAUGUGUGAAUAAAAAAAUUAAAAAAGAAAAAAGAAAUAGCAUUAGUUAGUAUUAGACAGUGUCAAUAAGGCAAGAAAUUUAAAAAUGAUCUAAUUACAAGACUUAACAUCUAGAAACCUUUUGUUUUUUGAAAUUAAACCAAGAUAUAAAGACACAGAAUCAAGUUAUCCAGAAUGUGCAGAGUCAGAAAUGGAGGACAUCUUGUCUCUAGUUCAUUUUAUAUUUUUAGGCAGUGGUUAAUCAGUGAAAUUUUGUCAUGGGUUGGGGAGAUCUCACCAUUUCUCUUAUCAUUUUCUUCUAGCCAUGCUUCACUCUGGGGUUUAGGGGAGAUUCAUAGUGGAGGGAAUAAGGACUAGGACCUAACUGUAUUCUGAGAAAAAGUAUGUAAUUUGAAGAGGUCAUCAGGAAAUCAUUUCCCAAGCAGGGCACUUGUCUUUGAAAUCCUUUCUCACUCCAGAUCUAACAAAGCCCUAGUUCAUUGUACC